UGGGGAAUUUUGGACAAUGGGCGAAAGCCUGAUCCAGCAAUGCCGCGUGUGCGAAGAAGGCCUUCGGGUUGUAAAGCACUUUUGUCCGGAAAGAAAUCCUUGGCUCUAAUACAGUCGGGGGAUGACGGUACCGGAAGAAUAAGCACCGGCUAACUACGUGCCAGCAGCCGCGGUAAUACGUAGGGUGCAAGCGUUAAUCGGAAUUACUGGGCGUAAAGCGUGCGCAGGCGGUUUGCUAAGACCGAUGUGAAAUCCCCGGGCUCAACCUGGGAACUGCAUUGGUGACUGGCAGGCUAGAGUAUGGCAGAGGGGGGUAGAAUUCCACGUGUAGCAGUGAAAUGCGUAGAGAUGUGGAGGAAUACCGAUGGCGAAGGCAGCCCCCUGGGCCAAUACUGACGCUCAUGCACGAAAGCGUGGGGAGCAAACAGGAUUAGAUACCUCUAGUCCACGCCCUAAAACGAUGUCAACUAGUUGUUGGGGAUUCAUUUCCUUAGUAACGUAGCUAACGCGUGAAGUUGACCGCCUGGGGAGUACGGUCGC
This 540-nucleotide ribosomal RNA is filed under the name uncultured bacterium. Its description in RNAcentral is "partial 16S ribosomal RNA". It matches the Rfam family "Bacterial small subunit ribosomal RNA", at positions 355 to 889 of the family's 1533-position model. The record is from RNAcentral.